This 254-nucleotide ribosomal RNA is filed under the name uncultured bacterium. RNAcentral's name for it is "partial 16S ribosomal RNA". It matches the Rfam family "Bacterial small subunit ribosomal RNA", at positions 524 to 776 of the family's 1533-position model. The record is from RNAcentral.
GACGAACCGUGCGAACGUUAUUCGGAAUCACUGGGCUUAAAGCGCGUGUAGGCGGGCCGGCACGUCGGUCGCUGAAAUCCCCCGGCUCAACCGGGGAAGCGGCGCCGAUACGACCGGCCUGGAGGGACGUAGGGGGGGCUGGAACUUCCGGUGGAGCGGUGAAAUGCGUUGAGAUCGGAAGGAACGCCCGUGGCGAAAGCGAGCCCCUGGACGUCUACUGACGCUGAGACGCGAAAGCCAGGGGAGCGAACGGG